RNAcentral lists this ribosomal RNA (499 nucleotides) under uncultured bacterium. RNAcentral's name for it is "bacterial SSU rRNA". It matches the Rfam family "Bacterial small subunit ribosomal RNA", at positions 903 to 1397 of the family's 1533-position model. The record is from RNAcentral.
AAAUGAAUUGACGGGGGCCCGCACAAGCAGUGGAGCAUGUGGUUUAAUUCGACGCGACCCGAAGAACCUUACCAGGUCUUGACAUCUGCCUAAGCCUGUAGAGAUACGGGCGCGCCCCUUUUGGGGAAAGGCAAGACAGGUGGUGCAUGGUUGUCGUCAGCUCGUGUCGUGAGAUGUUGGGUUAAGUCCCGCAACGAGCGCAACCCUUGAUGCCGGUUGCCAGCAGGCAAAGCUGGGCACUCCGGCGUGACUGCCGUAGACAAUACGGAGGAAGGUGGGGAUGACGUCAAAUCAUCAUGCCCUAUAUGACCUGGGCUACACACGUGCUACAAUGGGGUGAACAACGGGAGGCAAGCCCGCGAGGGCAAGCGGAGCCCUAAAAACACCUCUCAGUUCAGAUUGCAGGCUGCAACUCGCCUGCAUGAAGUCGGAAUUGCUAGUAAUCGCGGAUCAGCAAGCCGCGGUGAAUACGUUCCCGGGCCUUGUACACACCGCCCGU